UGUGAUAUUUCACUUAAUCCUAGCACCUAGGUGAUGUAACACUUCUCUUUUGUCUGGACACUUGCAUAUUUUUGGUAGUGUAACAUAUCACUUGGCCCAACACCUAGAAUAUAGGAGGUUUCUGCCAGGGCCCUGCCUACAGGGGGGCCUGUGACAUAUUUCUCCUGGCUGUGGAACCCAGUACCUAAGAAAUGUACCUCUUCUGCCUGCAGUUUGCCAAUAAGAAAUGUUAUGAUAUAUUGAUGGGUCCAGCAACCAUGUGAUAUAUCUCUCCUGCUUUGGCCUCAUCAACAGAGAGCAUUGUGACAUACCCGCGAGCCAAGCACACAGAUGAUGUUAUUCUGCUGCCUGUGCCCUGCUUUCAGGAGUGGAUUGCAAUGUAACACUGGCUGAGUACCCAGGUUAAUGACACUGUUGCCUGGUCCCUGUUCUCAGGGAAGACUGUAAUAGACCCCUGACCCAAUAUCCAGGGGACAUUGUGACAUACUUCUUGGCCAUGAACCCAGGUUAUGUGAGCCUUUCUGUGCCCUGCCCAUGUGGACAAUUGUGACAUAUUACCGAGUCCUACACCCAGGCGAUGCUACUCUCCUGUCUGGUCCUUGCCUACAGGGAACAUUGUGACAUAUCUCUUUGCCAUUCAUCCAGGUUCUGCCCACAGGGAAGAUUGUGGUGAAUUACUGAACGCGAUACCUAGAUGAAGGAGAGACUAUAACAUACCUCUUGGCCCAGCACCUAGUUGAUGUAACUCUGCUCUCCUGCCUGGGCCACACCUACAGAAGAAAGAGUGACUUCUCACUGGGCCAGCACACAGGUCAUGUUAUUUUACUGCCUUGAUCCUUGUCCACAAUAAUCAUUGUACAUAGUUUUGGGCUCUUCUACUAGAAGACGUGCGGGAUGGUUAAAUAUCACUGGACCUAGCACCUAGGGAAUGUGACUCUUGUCUUUUGCAUCAGCCCCACUCGUUUUGAGAACUGUAACAUAUCACUGGGCCAAACACCUAGAAGAUGGGAAGUGUCUGCCUAUGCCCUGCAAACAGGGCUUUAGCCCUACCACUCUCAAGAGCCUCGUGACAUAUCUCUGCAUUCAUCAUCUAGGAGAUGUGACUCCUCCCUGCUGCCUGCGCUCUGCCUACAGGGAAGACCAUAACAACAUUUGGCCCAGCAACACGGUGAUGUGUUUUUUCCCAGGGCCUUGCUCACAGGGAGCAUUGUGACAUAUCACUGGAACCAGCAUCCAGGGCUGUGACUCUGUGUCCUGCUGUUAGAACAGGAUUGUAACAUAUCACUGACCAAGCACCCAGGUGAUGUGACUCUUCUGCCUGGUGCCUGCCUUCAGGGAAAAUUGUGACAUAUGCCUGGCCUAGCACCAAAGUGAUGUGGCUCUCCUGCUACCUCUAUGCACAGAUGGGUUGGUGAUGCUCAGACAAAUAUUCAGCACACCUGUGAGUCUGCGACUCCAGUAAUCAUCCACAGUCUGCAGGAGAAAUUGAGGCUCUCACCAACAAAUCAAGUGCACAAUUGAGAUUGCGACUCUUGUACUCAGACCCAACAUACAGAAUGUGUUGACUCUCAAUUUUAAAACCAGAACAUGUGUGAGAUUAUUAAUCUGAUCUCUAAACCAUCCUGCAAGUGUGAUUGUGACACAAGUCUCUGUUCAGUACUUGAGUGAUUUGACUCCUUUGCCUGGGCCCAGUCCAAAGAUGUAAUUGUGACAUAUCACUGAAACCAGCAUAUAGGAGAUGUGUCUCCAUACUCCUGCCUUGGUGCUGCCCACAGUGGGCACUGUGACAUAUCACUGGGCCUUGUAUCCAAGUGAUGUAAGUCUCUUCUUUCUUGAUACUGACCACAGGAGACACUAUGACAUAUCCCUGGGCCUCAAGCUCAGCUUAUGUCAUUCUCCUAUUUGUUCUCUGUCCACAUGGGCCAUUGUGACAUACUGCUGAGUUUGGCAUCCAUGUGAUAUAACACUUCAGCCUCAGCUUUGCUCACUUGGGGCAUUGUGAUGUAUCUCUGCACCCAUCACUUAGAUGAUUCAACUCUUUUCUUCUGUCUCAUCUGUGCUUAAAACGGGCAAUUGUUACCUAUUGCUGGGUCCAGCAUGUAGCUGAUGUGUCUCUUCUCAUCUUCCUAAGGACUGCCUGCAGGGGAUAUGGUGACAUUUUACUUUGCCCAGCACCAAGAUGACUUGAAUCUGCUGCCUUUGUUCUACUUUCAGAAGACAUUGUGACAUAUCGCUGGGCCUAGCACCAAGGUGAUGUGAAUCUUCUGCCUGGACCUGCUCACAGAGGGAAUUGUUACAUAUUUUUGACUUCAUCAACUAUUUGAUGUGACUCUCCUCUCUAACCUGGGCCUUGCCCAUAAAAAACAUUGUGGCUUAUCUCUGGGCCCAAAACCUAGGUGAUGUGACUGUCUUCUUAGGGUCAUGCCCACAGUAGAGAGAUGCCUUAUUGCUAAACCCAGCACACAGGUGAGGUGAUUCUUCUGUCUGGUCCCUGCCCACAGGGGUCAUGAUGACAUCUCUCUAAGCCCAUCACCUAGAUUAUGUGAGUUCUCUUUUUCUUCUGUUAGCUAUAUAGAAGAUUGUGACAUAUUGCUUGGCCCAGACCUCAUGUGAUGUGAAUCUCCUCUCAUGCCUUGGUCCUGUUUUUUUUUGGCCGUUGUUGUUUUGUUUUGUUUUUUGAGAUGGAGUCUUGCUCUGUUGCCUAAGCUGGA
This 2711-nucleotide long non-coding RNA is filed under the name Homo sapiens (human). RNAcentral's name for it is "HSALNT0396691". The record is from RNAcentral. Lineage: Eukaryota; Metazoa; Chordata; Mammalia; Primates; Hominidae.